This 1259-nucleotide ribosomal RNA is filed under the name Salmonella enterica subsp. enterica serovar Typhimurium. RNAcentral describes it as "partial 23S ribosomal RNA". It matches the Rfam family "Bacterial large subunit ribosomal RNA", at positions 462 to 1637 of the family's 2925-position model. Lineage: Bacteria; Pseudomonadati; Pseudomonadota; Gammaproteobacteria; Enterobacterales; Enterobacteriaceae. The record is from RNAcentral.
AAGGCUAAAUACUCCUGACUGACCGAUAGUGAACCAGUACCGUGAGGGAAAGGCGAAAAGAACCCCGGCGAGGGGAGUGAAAAAGAACCUGAAACCGUGUACGUACAAGCAGUGGGAGCACCCUUCGGGGUGUGACUGCGUACCUUUUGUAUAAUGGGUCAGCGACUUAUAUUCUGUAGCAAGGUUAACCGUAUAGGGGAGCCGGAGGGAAACCGAGUCUUAACCGGGCGUUAAGUUGCAGGGUAUAGACCCGAAACCCGGUGAUCUAGCCAUGGGCAGGUUGAAGGUUGGGUAACACUAACUGGAGGACCGAACCGACUAAUGUUGAAAAAUUAGCGGAUGACCUGUGGCUGGGGGUGAAAGGCCAAUCAAACCGGGAGAUAGCUGGUUCUCCCCGAAAGCUAUUUAGGUAGCGCCUCGUGAAUUCAUCUCCGGGGGUAGAGCACUGUUUCGGCUAGGGGGCCAUCCCGGCUUACCAACCCGAUGCAAACUGCGAAUACCGGAGAAUGUUAUCACGGGAGACACACGGCGGGUGCUAACGUCCGUCGUGAAGAGGGAAACAACCCAGACCGCCAGCUAAGGUCCCAAAGUCAUGGUUAAGUGGGAAACGAUGUGGGAAGGCCCAGACAGCCAGGAUGUUGGCUUAGAAGCAGCCAUCAUUUAAAGAAAGCGUAAUAGCUCACUGGUCGAGUCGGCCUGCGCGGAAGAUGUAACGGGGCUAAACCAUGCACCGAAGCUGCGGCAGCGAACGUAUCACCCAAGACAACUUUACGGAGUUGACGAUUGACGGAGCGAAGCGACGUCAAAGCGUUCAUUAAAGUCGAGUUGGCUUAGGGAUACGUUCGUUGGGUAGGGGAGCGUUCUGUAAGCCUGUGAAGGUGUGUCGUGAGGCAUGCUGGAGGUAUCAGAAGUGCGAAUGCUGACAUAAGUAACGAUAAAGCGGGUGAAAAGCCCGCUCGCCGGAAGACCAAGGGUUCCUGUCCAACGUUAAUCGGGGCAGGGUGAGUCGACCCCUAAGGCGAGGCCGAAAGGCGUAGUCGAUGGGAAACGGGUUAAUAUUCCCGUACUUGGUGUUACUGCGAAGGGGGGACGGAGAAGGCUAUGUUGGCCGGGCGACGGUUGUCCCGGUUUAAGCGUGUAGGUGUGUGUUCCAGGUAAAUCCGGUUCACUUUAACACUGAGGCGUGACGACGAGGCACUACGGUGCUGAAGCAACAAAUGCCCUGCUUCCAGGAAAAGCCUCUAAGCAUCAGGUAACAC